Molecule: long non-coding RNA, 239 nt
Filed under: Elaeis guineensis (African oil palm)
Lineage: Eukaryota; Viridiplantae; Streptophyta; Magnoliopsida; Arecales; Arecaceae
Description: long non-coding RNA (EGUI_LNC080000)
Source: RNAcentral
GGUUCCCAUCGCCUUAAAGGGGGCUCGAGGGAGAACUCCUUCAACAACAGGGAUUUAAUAACGGGGACAAUCGGUGAAGGCGUUCCGCCUGAGAAUUUUGAAGUAGCUGAACGGGACGACACCGGUCAAGGAGGCAAAGCUGUCGUCACAAGCCGUGGCGGGAUCCUUGAUGUCGUCGGGGCCGAGGGACCAGAAGCGAUCGACGCCGAUGGUGGGGUAGUAAAACUUGUUGCGGGGAC